CCUACGGGAGGCAGCAGUGAGGAAUAUUGGUCAAUGGACGAGAGUCUGAACCAGCAAAGUAGCGUGAAGGAUGACUGCCCUCUGGGUUGUAAACUUCUUUUAUAUGGGAAUAAAACGUUCCACGUGUGGGAUUUUGUAUGUACCAUAUGAAUAAGGAUCGGCUAACUCCGUGCCAGCAGCCGCGGUAAUACGGAGGAUCCGAGCGUUAUCCGGAUUUAUUGGGUUUAAAGGGAGCGUAGGUGGCUGGUUAAGUCAGUUGUGAAAGUUUGCGGCUCAACCGUAAAAUUGCAGUUGAAACUGGCAGUCUUGAGUACAGUAGAGGUGGGCGGAAUUCGUGGUGUAGCGGUGAAAUGCUUAGAUAUCACGAAGAACUCCGAUUGCGAAGGCAGUUCACUGGACUGCAACUGACACUGAGGCUCGAAAGUGUGGGUAUCAAACAGGAUUAGAUACCCGAGUAGUC
Molecule: ribosomal RNA, 460 nt
Filed under: uncultured bacterium
Lineage: Bacteria
Description: partial 16S ribosomal RNA
Rfam family: Bacterial small subunit ribosomal RNA
Source: RNAcentral